This 413-nucleotide unclassified non-coding RNA is filed under the name soil metagenome. RNAcentral's name for it is "partial contains 5.8S ribosomal RNA, internal transcribed spacer 2, and large subunit ribosomal RNA". The stretch from base 1 to 122 matches the Rfam family "5.8S ribosomal RNA", at positions 35 to 154 of the family's 154-position model. The record is from RNAcentral.
GAUGAAGAACGUAGCGAAAUGCGAUACUUGGUGUGAAUUGCAGAAUCCCGUGAACCAUCGAGUCUUUGAACGCAAGUUGCGCCCGAAGCCGUCAGGCCGAGGGCACGCCUGCCUGGGCGUCACACGCCGCUGCCCACCCCGCGCCCCGCACCCAACUCUUUGGGAGCGACCGCGGGGCGGGCUGAUGAUGGCCUCCCGUGCGCUCCGCCGCGCGGUUGGCCCAAAUACCGAGUCCCCGGCGACGUGCGCCACGACGAUCGGUGGUUGAGAGACCUCUGUCGCAAGUCGUGCGCGCCCGUCGCGUCACGCGGGCUCGCAUAGCGCCUCGCGCCGCACCCGGUGCGGAGCUUUCAACGCGACCCCAGGUCAGGCGGGGUUACCCGCUGAAUUUAAGCAUAUCAAUAAGCGGAGGA